RNAcentral lists this ribosomal RNA (397 nucleotides) under uncultured microorganism. RNAcentral's name for it is "bacterial SSU rRNA". It matches the Rfam family "Archaeal small subunit ribosomal RNA", at positions 330 to 733 of the family's 1478-position model. The record is from RNAcentral.
GCGCAGCAGGCGCGAAUCCUCCGCAAUACACGAAAGUGUGACGGGGUUACCCAAAGUGUCCAAAUUUGGACUGUGGUAGGUGAGUAAUGUCCCCUACUAGAAAGGAGAGGGCAAGGCUGGUGCCAGCCACCGCGGUAAAACCAGCUCUUCAAGUGGUCGGGAUAAUUAUUGGGCUUAAAGUGUCCGUAGCCGGUUUAGUAAGUUCCUGGUAAAAUCGGGUAGCUUAACUAUCUGUAUGCUAGGAAUACUGCUAUACUAGAGGGCGGGAGAGGUCUGAGGUACUACAGGGGUAGGGGUGAAAUCCUGUAAUCCUUGUAGGACCACCAGUGGCGAAGGCGUCAGACUGGAACGCGCCUGACGGUGAGGGACGAAAGCCAGGGGAGCGAACCGGAUUAGA